AUCAGAUAAAAAAUAAGACAUAUAUAAUGCACUAUUGGAACCAAAACUGAGCCACUGCAAGGCAUAGACCUGGCAAGCUAUCUAUAGUAUGGCUCCUUAACUAGCCCUCAAAAUGUUCAGACAUGCCAAUUUUCACAAUGCAUGACCUAACUCUGGAGGAGGAAGGAGGACCAUGAGAAAGUUUACAAACAGCCUGCAGGCUUCCCCACAGACUGUGUUCCAGCGGAUAAUGUACAAGGUACCCUGACAGUGGUCAUAAAAUCUAUUUUAAUCGGAAGCUACUAACAGUUGUUCUGUUUAACAGCUACUAGAGGCAUG
Molecule: non-coding RNA, 318 nt
Organism: Pelobates cultripes (western spadefoot toad)
Lineage: Eukaryota; Metazoa; Chordata; Amphibia; Anura; Pelobatidae
Source: the annotation of a GenBank genome assembly